UUUACAGAUGGCUUAUAGUUAUACAUGUAAAAGAUUUACAAAAAGAAAAAUGGGGUCACCGGGCAAAUAUUUCCAAGGCAUUCAAAUGGAUAAAACCAGAGGAAUUUGAAAAUCUGACAAAAAAUCUAACACAUGACAAGCCAGCUUCCUUAAUUAAUAUAGAUCAAAAGAUACCCUAUACUUACAUAUAUAGUUUUCUGAUCAAUAAGAAAAUUGUAUAGACAGGCCUUAAGUAGAUCUUAGGUAACCACAAUAUUUUAACAAGUGCUUAGUGGAUAAUUUAAUCGAAAGAUACCCUAUUUUUCUGGUCAUAAGAGAUGUAAGUCAAAAUAGCAAAAUAGCAUAGACAGGCACUUACAACAAAACAUGUAGUAGAUAUCAGGUAACCAGACUAUUGGUAACCAGUAGUUAUAGGCACUAAGUAGAUAUAUCAAGUACCAGAUUACAAAUGUAUUAAUAACCAGUAAUUAUAGGCACUAAGUAGAUAUCCGGUACCAGAUCAUUGGUAACCAGGAUAUAAUUAGAUGCCAGACAACUUAGGAUGGUUACCUGAUUAUACAGGUAAAUUAAUGUCUAUCAACAUAUCAAACAUCAAUUGCUCUUUUUAUACACGUCCUUGAUUGGUUUCUCUGUUUUUAAACCAUUUUUGACAUAUAUUUUUGAAUGAAAGUGAUCAUGUUUGUCUGAGUGAGGAUGAUAUUUGAUCACAUGUGGGUGUGUAUAAACUUUGUAAUUGUGUAGGUAAAAUAAGAAGAAUAUUGUUCAUUGUUUAAUCCAAUUAUUCAACCCCAUCUCAUUCGGGUGCACUGGACUCCAAUUUUAAUUGACUAGGAUUUUCAGUUUUCCUAUUGAUGGUCAGUGGUUUUCUCUAAGCAUUCUGGCUUCCUCUACCGAUAAAAAUUUUGCCAUCACGAAAUAGCCCAAAAGCUGUGCUGAAAAGUGGGAUUAAAACACAUCGAAGUCAAAAACCAUGUAUGCUUUUUGUUCUGAAAUUCAAGGGUCUUAUAACUGUCAACUUAAGCCUUUGAAGCUAGAGCAGAAAUGUUUUCAAAGCUUAAUUAUUACUAGUAUAAUGUAUGACUAUGUUAUAUGUGUUGCAGGCCAUGCUUUUUUUCUGCUUUUAUCAAAAAAGGUUUCUCUCUUUUAGAUAACAACACAAAUAAAAUUGAGAAUUGAAAUGGGAAAGGUCUGAUUAUCAAAUAAUGACUUGUAAAUAAGGCCAUAAUUGAAGCUGUUUUGGGGUAAUAAUUGCACAAAAUGCAUUUGAAACCUCUUAAAUUCUCACUGGCUUAAUAGCAUAAUAUUUCAGGCCUUUUCUCCUUUCCUUUUGAGUGUACAAACAGAUUAUUGUUUUUUACAAACUUUAUUGAAAACUUUCACAUUUGUUAGUUGGAUACAGAAAGUACAGAUACCUUAUCCUGGCCUUGUCAAACAUUAGAUUGUAUAUUUACAGACAAAUUAGUGCAGUGAGCUGAACAUUCUUCAGAGCCUACAAUGUCUAUGUCGAUUAGAAUAUUGCCUAAAUAUAUUACAAAAUUAUUUGUAUACAUAUAAGUGCUUUUUGCUAUAUCCUGCACUAUGUUAAAAUCUUACUUACCAAAGUGCAUUAUAUAUGUACAUGUACAUUUACUUCCAUAAAUAUUGCAUUGUCAACCUCUUUAUAAUUAUUACUUGCAUUUAUUUUUUUGUGCAUUAGAUGGUUG
Molecule: long non-coding RNA, 1703 nt
Filed under: Mytilus galloprovincialis (Mediterranean mussel)
Lineage: Eukaryota; Metazoa; Mollusca; Bivalvia; Mytilida; Mytilidae
Source: RNAcentral